UUGAAGAGUUUGAUCAUGGCUCAGAUUGAACGCUGGCGGCAGGCCUAACACAUGCAAGUCGAGCGGUAGCACAGAGAGCUUGCUCUCGGGUGACGAGCGGCGGACGGGUGAGUAAUGUCUGGGAAACUGCCUGAUGGAGGGGGAUAACUACUGGAAACGGUAGCUAAUACCGCAUAAUGUCGCAAGACCAAAGUGGGGGACCUUCGGGCCUCAUGCCAUCAGAUGUGCCCAGAUGGGAUUAGCUAGUAGGUGGGGUAAUGGCUCACCUAGGCGACGAUCCCUAGCUGGUCUGAGAGGAUGACCAGCCACACUGGAACUGAGACACGGUCCAGACUCCUACGGGAGGCAGCAGUGGGGAAUAUUGCACAAUGGGCGCAAGCCUGAUGCAGCCAUGCCGCGUGUGAAGAAGGCCUUCGGGUUGUAAAGCACUUUCAGCGGGGAGGAAGGCGUUAAGGUUAAUAACCUUGGCGAUUGACGUUACCCGCAGAAGAAGCACCGGCUAACUCCGUGCCAGCAGCCGCGGUAAUACGGAGGGUGCAAGCGUUAAUCGGAAUUACUGGGCGUAAAGCGCACGCAGGCGGUCUGUCAAGUCGGAUGUGAAAUCCCCGGGCUCAACCUGGGAACUGCAUUCGAAACUGGCAGGCUAGAGUCUUGUAGAGGGGGGUAGAAUUCCAGGUGUAGCGGUGAAAUGCGUAGAGAUCUGGAGGAAUACCGGUGGCGAAGGCGGCCCCCUGGACAAAGACUGACGCUCAGGUGCGAAAGCGUGGGGAGCAAACAGGAUUAGAUACCCUGGUAGUCCACGCCGUAAACGAUGUCGAUUUGGAGGUUGUGCCCUUGAGGCGUGGCUUCCGGAGCUAACGCGUUAAAUCGACCGCCUGGGGAGUACGGCCGCAAGGUUAAAACUCAAAUGAAUUGACGGGGGCCCGCACAAGCGGUGGAGCAUGUGGUUUAAUUCGAUGCAACGCGAAGAACCUUACCUGGUCUUGACAUCCACAGAACUUUCCAGAGAUGGAUUGGUGCCUUCGGGAACUGUGAGACAGGUGCUGCAUGGCUGUCGUCAGCUCGUGUUGUGAAAUGUUGGGUUAAGUCCCGCAACGAGCGCAACCCUUAUCCUUUGUUGCCAGCGGUUCGGCCGGGAACUCAAAGGAGACUGCCAGUGAUAAACUGGAGGAAGGUGGGGAUGACGUCAAGUCAUCAUGGCCCUUACGACCAGGGCUACACACGUGCUACAAUGGCAUAUACAAAGAGAAGCGACCUCGCGAGAGCAAGCGGACCUCAUAAAGUAUGUCGUAGUCCGGAUUGGAGUCUGCAACUCGACUCCAUGAAGUCGGAAUCGCUAGUAAUCGUAGAUCAGAAUGCUACGGUGAAUACGUUCCCGGGCCUUGUACACACCGCCCGUCACACCAUGGGAGUGGGUUGCAAAAGAAGUAGGUAGCUUAACCUUCGGGAGGGCGCUUACCACUUUGUGAUUCAUGACUGGGGUGAAGUCGUAACAAGGUAACCGUAGGGGAACCUGCGGUUGGAUCACCUCCUU
RNAcentral lists this ribosomal RNA (1534 nucleotides) under Klebsiella pneumoniae. Its description in RNAcentral is "bacterial SSU rRNA". It matches the Rfam family "Bacterial small subunit ribosomal RNA". The record is from RNAcentral. Lineage: Bacteria; Pseudomonadati; Pseudomonadota; Gammaproteobacteria; Enterobacterales; Enterobacteriaceae.